UACGAAGGGGGCUAGCGUUGUUCGGAAUUACUGGGCGUAAAGGGCUCGUAGGCGGUUUGUCGCGUCGGGAGUGAAAACGCCGUGCUUAACACGGCGCUUGCUUUCGAUACGGGCAGACUAGAGGUAUGCAGGGGAGAACGGAAUUCCUGGUGUAGCGGUGAAAUGCGCAGAUAUCAGGAGGAACACCGGUGGCGAAGGCGGUUCUCUGGGCAUGACCUGACGCUGAGGAGCGAAAGUGUGGGGAGCGAACAGG
This 253-nucleotide ribosomal RNA is filed under the name uncultured bacterium. RNAcentral's name for it is "partial 16S ribosomal RNA". It matches the Rfam family "Bacterial small subunit ribosomal RNA", at positions 524 to 776 of the family's 1533-position model. The record is from RNAcentral.